GUGCAGCAGGCGCGAAACUUCACAAUGUGCGAAAGCACGAUGAGGGAAUCCCAAGUGCUUGCUCGUAAGAGUAAGCUGUUUCUCUGUCUAAAACGCAGAGAGAGUAAGGGCUGGGUAAGACGGGUGCCAGCCGCCGCGGUAAUGCCUGCAGCUCGAGUGGUGGCCGCUAUUAUUGGGCCUAAAACGUCCGUAGCCGGUUUAUUAAAUGCCUGGGUAAAUCGGACCGCUUAACGGUUCGAAUUCCGGGUAGACUGAUAAACUUGAGACCGGGAGAAGCUAGAGGUACUCCUGGGGUAGAGGUGAAAUUCUGUAAUCCUAGGGGGACCACCAGUGGCGAAGGCGUCUAGCUAGAACGGGUCUGACGGUGAGGGACGAAGCCCUGGGGCGCAAACGGGAUUAGAUACCCGUGUAGU
Molecule: ribosomal RNA, 413 nt
Filed under: uncultured microorganism
Description: bacterial SSU rRNA
Rfam family: Archaeal small subunit ribosomal RNA
Source: RNAcentral